RNAcentral lists this long non-coding RNA (1771 nucleotides) under Triticum aestivum (bread wheat). RNAcentral's name for it is "long non-coding RNA (TAES_LNC006259)". The record is from RNAcentral. Lineage: Eukaryota; Viridiplantae; Streptophyta; Magnoliopsida; Poales; Poaceae.
GGCGGCGGGCAACAACGACGACGUCGGCCUCCAAGACCCCAUCCCGGCCUCUGUUGGAAUAUGUAGGUAUCCACUCCUUCCCCUUCCCCUUCACUUGCUGCUCGCAAAUCUGUUUCUGCAUCCUCUAUUAGAACUUGUUUUUCUCCGUUUUUUCGAGAUGUGCUAGUCUGUAUGAAUGUAUAAUUGGCACGUAGCUCAAAACGAAACAUGCAAAUGGUUCAAUACAUUUACGGGCAGCAUCGGGAUGGCAUGGUUGAACGCAAAAAGAAAAUUCCAUAACUGACAAAACUGAAAAAUUAAAGACUUCCUUCCUCGUCCUGGGUGAAAACCAUGUGACUGCUUGCACGAUGCAUCAAACGUAGUAUCUGAAACAAUAUUGUCCUCCUGCCUGUCUGCCUGCAAGUGGACGUUUUGUAAUGGCACUACACGCCGUCUCAGACGGCUGUCGCCGGUGGCGAGGUUAAAUAUUCUUCUUGUGAGCAUCCAGCUAAAAUGUAUUUCAGAACAUUUUAGAGUGGAAGAGAAGAGAAUUAGGGCAUUAGAUUCAAUUGCAAAUAUGUUGAAUGCAAGUGGAUGGAACGUCAAUGUUACCCCUAAGAGGAAACAAAUGAUGCAAUGGAUUCACUGCACAACUUGUGAAUAAGUGCCACCAACUGGGUGAUGAUGCUGAUGGCAAGGCAUUGGUAACACGCUUGUAAAUGUCAAGGCCGUGAACCCCGUGUCAUGACUGACGAAAAUGAAAAACGAAUCACUUUCCCCCCUUGUAUUGGGUCACUACUCACGUGAUGCACCAGACGUGCCUGCAAGUCGGUGUUUUGUAAUGCCAGUGCAUGAUGUCUCAAAUGCCUGCAAGUGGGUGUUUUUAAAGCCUGCAUCGCUAAUUGAUUUUAAUUUCGACCACAGGCUAUAGACAGACGGCUGGUCUGGAGUUUGAACUAAAUCCCCAUGGAACUUGGCAGCUAGGAGACGAGUAGGAUCCUUUCCUUUAGGACACUUGGGGCCUAGUGGUUAACUGCUUGCUCCGUCGACCGAUGCUAUGUUCGAUGCGGCACUGUCAUCGUAAACCAUCCAUCCAUUACCAGCAGACCAUGGGCAAUUUACAAUUGAUCUUGACCGUCUUUUCACCAGUUAAUCAAUAUUGCCCUGCACUACUUCACUCUGUUAAAUUGUUCUGACCGAGCGGCCUUGACAUCUUUAUCCGUCUGCCAACGCAACUUCACAUUGAGAUUCCGUGUAGCCGUCACAUAGGUUCAGAUAAAUCUGUGGACAACACAACAGUGCUUUGCUAGUACCUUAGGCCAUGUACUUGUCGAGAGGUUCAUGUGGCAACUGAAAUGGCUCCCUAUGUAUGAUCGUAACCUCACGCAUUCUCCUCUCCUGAUUACUGAUGGAUUUACAUUCCUUUGUCUGUCAGGUACCAUGCCAACCGGAUGCUCAGCUUCUACGCCCCCGGUGAGCUUCCCCCAUUUGCUGAAUUCUAAAACUGCUCAAAUAUGGUUUGUGAUCCAAGUGGGUCGAUUGAUUUGAUGUUAAUUUCUUUGCUUCACUCUGUUUAUUUAUGGCUACUACUUGUUCUGAUUCGUGCAUCUACACUUGGUGUGACUGAUGUGUACAUGAUCCCAAGCGUGCUGUAGUUUAGCAUGGAUUGAUGAUCUCGUAUUGGAGAGUUCAAGGGCACAUAGGCAGUGUGCCCUUGUAUAUCUAUCUGAGCAGUUGAUUUCACCUGUAGUGCUUCUACUUGAAAUGUGAUGAUCCACGUGCUAACUGUUUG